RNAcentral lists this ribosomal RNA (1127 nucleotides) under Vibrio parahaemolyticus. RNAcentral's name for it is "bacterial LSU rRNA". It matches the Rfam family "Bacterial large subunit ribosomal RNA", at positions 1824 to 2925 of the family's 2925-position model. Lineage: Bacteria; Pseudomonadati; Pseudomonadota; Gammaproteobacteria; Vibrionales; Vibrionaceae. The record is from RNAcentral.
UGCAAAAUCGUAAGAUGACGUAUACGGUGUGACGCCUGCCCGGUGCCGGAAGGUUAAUUGAUGGGGUUAGACUUCGGUCGAAGCUCUUGAUCGAAGCCCCGGUAAACGGCGGCCGUAACUAUAACGGUCCUAAGGUAGCGAAAUUCCUUGUCGGGUAAGUUCCGACCUGCACGAAUGGCGUAAUGAUGGCCACGCUGUCUCCACCCGAGACUCAGUGAAAUUGAAAUCGCUGUGAAGAUGCAGUGUACCCGCGGCUAGACGGAAAGACCCCGUGAACCUUUACUACAGCUUGGCACUGAACAUUGACCCUACAUGUGUAGGAUAGGUGGGAGGCUUUGAAGCACGUACGCCAGUAUGUGUGGAGCCGUCCUUGAAAUACCACCCUUGUAGUGUUGAUGUUCUAACGUCGACCCCUUAUCGGGGUUGCGGACAGUGCCUGGUGGGUAGUUUGACUGGGGCGGUCUCCUCCCAAAGAGUAACGGAGGAGCACGAAGGUGGGCUAAUCACGGUUGGACAUCGUGAGGUUAGUGCAAUGGCAUAAGCCCGCUUGACUGCGAGAAUGACAAUUCGAGCAGGUGCGAAAGCAGGUCAUAGUGAUCCGGUGGUUCUGAAUGGAAGGGCCAUCGCUCAACGGAUAAAAGGUACUCCGGGGAUAACAGGCUGAUACCGCCCAAGAGUUCAUAUCGACGGCGGUGUUUGGCACCUCGAUGUCGGCUCAUCACAUCCUGGGGCUGAAGUCGGUCCCAAGGGUAUGGCUGUUCGCCAUUUAAAGUGGUACGCGAGCUGGGUUUAGAACGUCGUGAGACAGUUCGGUCCCUAUCUGCCGUGGGCGUUGGAAGAUUGAAGGGGGCUGCUCCUAGUACGAGAGGACCGGAGUGGACGAACCUCUGGUGUUCGGGUUGUGUCGCCAGACGCAUUGCCCGGUAGCUAAGUUCGGAAUCGAUAACCGCUGAAAGCAUCUAAGCGGGAAGCGAGCCCUGAGAUGAGUCUUCCCUGAUACUUUAAGUAUCCUAAAGGGUUGUCGGAGACUACGACGUUGAUAGGUCAGGUGUGUAAGUGCUGUGAGGCAUUGAGCUAACUGAUACUAAUUGCCCGUGAGGCUUAACCAUACAACACCCAAGGGGUUU